This 1524-nucleotide ribosomal RNA is filed under the name Myxococcota bacterium. Its description in RNAcentral is "bacterial SSU rRNA". It matches the Rfam family "Bacterial small subunit ribosomal RNA". The record is from RNAcentral. Lineage: Bacteria; Pseudomonadati; Myxococcota.
UACACGAAGAGUUUGAUCCUGGCUCAGGACGAACGCUGGCGGCGUGCUUAACACAUGCAAGUCGAACGCGAAAGGGGGCUUGCCCCCGAGUAAAGUGGCGCACGGGUGAGUAUCACGUGGGUAACCAACCCCUAGGUGGGGGAUAACGGCCCGAAAGGGACGCUAAUCCCGCAUAAGACCACGAUAGCACAGGCUAUUGGGGCCAAAGGAGAAAUUCGCCUAGGGACGGGCCCGCGUCCCAUCAGCUAGUUGGUAGGGUAACGGCCUACCAAGGCAGUGACGGGUAGCUGGUCUGAGAGGAUGAUCAGCCACACUGGGACUGGAACACGGCCCAGACUCCUACGGGAGGCAGCAGUGAGGAAUUUUGGACAAUGGGCGAAAGCCUGAUCCAGCAACGCCGCGUGAGUGAUGAAGGCCCUCGGGUUGUAAAGCUCUUUCAGGGGGAACGAGGAAGGACGGUACCCCCACAAGAAGCACCGGCUAACUCCGUGCCAGCAGCCGCGGUAAUACGGAGGGUGCGAGCGUUGUCCGGAAUCACUGGGCGUAAAGCAGGUGCAGGCGGCCUGUUGUGUCGGGUGUGAAAUCCCGUGGCUCAACCACGGAACUGCGCCCGAAACUGAUGGGCUUGAGUGCGAGAGGGGAUGGUGGAAUUCUCGGUGUAGAGGUGAAAUUCGUAGAUAUCGAGAGGAAUACCGGUGGCGAAGGCGACCAUCUGGCUCGUUUCUGACGCUCAGACCUGAAAGCGUGGGUAGCAAACAGAAUUAGAUACUCUGGUAGUCCACGCAGUAAACGAUGGAUACUAGGUGUUGGGGGUGUCGAUUCCCUCAGUGCCGAAGUUAACGCAUUAAGUAUCCCGCCUGGGAAGUACGGCCGCAAGGCUAAAACUCAAAGGAAUUGACGGGGGCCCGCACAAGCGGUGGAGUAUGUGGUUUAAUUCGACGCAACGCGAAGAACCUUACCCAGACUUGACAUGUAGAGAACCUGGUGGAAACACUGGGGUGCCUAGUUUACUAGGAGCUCUAACACAGGUGCUGCAUGGCUGUCGUCAGCUCGUGUCGUGAGAUGUUGGGUUAAGUCCCGCAACGAGCGCAACCCUUGCCGAUAGUUGCCAUCAUUAAGUUGGGCACUCUAUAGGGACUGCCGGUGUUAAACCGGAGGAAGGUGGGGAUGACGUCAAGUCCUCAUGGCCCUUAUGUCUGGGGCUACACACGUACUACAAUGGCUGGUACAAAGGGCUGCAAGCCGGCGACGGUUAGCCAAUCCCAAAAAGCCAGCCCCAGUUCAGAUUGGAGUCUGCAACUCGACUCCAUGAAGGCGGAAUCGCUAGUAAUCGCUAAUCAGCAGGUAGCGGUGAAUACGUUCCCGGGCCUUGUACACACCGCCCGUCAAACCAUGGGAGUUGCUUGCUCCUGAAGUCACUGGGCUAACCCGCAAGGGAGGCAGGUGCCUACGGAGUGGGUAGCGACUGGGGUUAAGUCGUAACAAGGUAGCCGUAGGGGAACCUGCGGCUGGAUCACCUCCUUU